This is a long non-coding RNA of Felis catus (domestic cat), 7941 nucleotides long. RefSeq lists it as uncharacterized. Lineage: Eukaryota; Metazoa; Chordata; Mammalia; Carnivora; Felidae. The record is from RefSeq and is a predicted model, not a curated record. The transcript has 2 exons.
AAUAUUUUUUUCCCUUUUCAUAGGUUAUCUUUUCACUUUGUUGUUUCUUUUGCUGUACAAAAGCUUUUUAGUUUGAUGUAAUCCCAGUUGUUUACUUUUUUUUUUUUUUUAAUUGUUUGUGCUUUAGGUGUGACAUCCAAAAAAAAUCAUGGCCAAGACCCAUGUCAAGGUGCUUUCUUCCUUUGUUUAUUUAUAGGAGUUUCAGUCUUAAGUUUAAGUCUUUUAUCCAUUUUGAGUUAAUUUUUAUAAAUAGUAUAAGAUAGGUGUAUAGUUUCAUUCUUUAAUAUGUGAAUAUCCAGUUUUCCCAGCACCAUUCAUUGAAGAGACUGUCUUUUCUCCAUUGAGUAUUCUUGCCUCCCUUGCCAAAUAUUAGUUGACCAUACAAGCCCAGAUUUAUCUCUGAGCUCUCAGUUCUGUUCAUUUGAUCUGUCUGCUUUUGUGACAGUACCAUACUGUUUUGAUUACUAUAGCUUUAUAGUUUAGCUUGAAAUUAGGAAGUGUGAUGCCUACCAGUUUUUUCCUCCUAGGAUUUCUUUGGCUGUUCAGAGUAUUUUGUUGUUCCAUAUAAAUUUUAGGAUUUUUUUCUACUUCUGUAGAAACAUGCCAUUGGAAUUGUGAUAGAUACUAUAUUGGACCUACAGAUUGCAUUAGGUAGUGUGGACAUUUUAAUAAUGCUUCCAGUCCAGGAACACAGGAUACCUUUCCACUUAUUUGUAUCUUCUUCAAUUUCUUUCAUCAAUGUAUUAUAGCUUUCAGAGUAGAGAUCUUUUACUUCCUUGGUUAAAUUUGUUCCUCAGUAUUUUGGUGCUAUUGUAAGUGGGAUGAUGUUGUUUAUUUCUUUUUCAGGUCACUUCUUAUGGUUAAUUUAAUGUUAAUAUCCUGCAACUGUACUGAAUUCAUUGAUCUAACAGUUUUUUGGUAGAGUCUUUAGGAUUUUCUAUUUAUAAAAUCUUACUACAAAUAGAGACAAUUUUACUUCUUUUUAUUUCUGAUGCUUUUUAUUUGUUUCUUGCCUGAUUGCUCUGUAAGGACUUCCAGUACAGUGGUGAAUAUGAAUGGUGAGAGUGGGCACCCCUGUCAUGUUCCCUAUCUUAAAGGAAAAGCUUUCAACCUUUCACCAUUGAAUAUUAUAUUAGAUGUAGGUUUAUAAUAUAUAGGCUUUACUAUGUUGGGGUUCAUUCCUUCUAUACAUAAUUGUUAAGAGUUUUUAUCAUGAAAGGAUGUUGCAUCUUUUUCAAAUGCUUUUUCUGCAUCUAUUGCAGUGGUCACAUGAUAUUUUUUUCUUUCAUUCUGUUAAUGUCAUGUAUCUCAUUGAUUGGCACAUGUUGAGCCAUCUUUGCAUCCCAGGUAUAAAUCAUGCUUGAUCGUUGUAAAUGAUCCUUUCAUGAGCAGAAUUCAGUUUGCAGUGUUCUGUUGAGAAUUUUUGCAUCUCUAUUACCAGGGAUAUUGGUUCAUAGUUUUUCUUUUCUGGUAGUGUCUUUUUCUGGCUUUGGUUAUUGGUGAUGUUGGCUUGUAAAAGGAGUUUGUGAGUGCCCCUCCUCUUUGAUUUUUUUUUUUUUUUUGAAGAAUUUCAGAGGGAUCAGUGUUAUUUUAAAUAUUUGUUAAAAUUUACUAGCAAAGACAUUUAGUCUUGGAAUUUUCUUUGUUGAAAGAGUUUUAAUUACUGAUUAAAUCUUAUACUAGUAAAUGGUGUAAUUCAGACCGUUUCUUCUUGAUUCAGUCUCAGUAGAUUAUAUGCUUCCAAGAAUUUUUACAUUUCUUCUAGGUUUUCCUAUUUGUUGGCAUGUAAUUGGUCAUAGUAGCCUUUUAUGAUUGUAUUCCUGUAGUAGCCGUUGUAAUAUCUCCUUGUUUGAUUCAUAGUUUAUUUGGUUCCUCUUUUUUGUCUUGAUUUAUCUAAUAGUUUUGCCAAUUUUAUAUUUUCAAAGAACUACCUCUUCGUUUGGUUAAUGUUUUCUACUGUAUUUCUGUUCUAUCCUUCAUUUAUUUCUGCUGUAAUCUUUACUUUUUCCUUUCUUAUUCUAACUUGGGGUUCAUUUUGUUACUCUUUUUCUGCUUCUUAUUUAUCUGGGAGGUUUAUUGCUAUGAGCUUCCCUCUUCAAACUGCUUUUACUGCCUCUCAUAAGUUUUGGUAUGUGUGUUUCCAUUGUCAUUUGUCUCAAGAUAGUUAUUUCCCAUUUCCUCUUUGAUCCAUUGGUUGUUCAGGAGAGUGUUGUUUAAUUGCCAUUUUAUCCUGCAGUUUUCCUCACGUUAUAGUUAUUUGGUAUGAUUUCGUUGUUCUUAAAUUUGCUAAGAAUUAUUUUUUGUCCUAACAUAUGUCCUAACAUAUCCUAGAAAAAUGUUCCAUUUACACAUGGGAAGAAUGUAUUCUGCUGUUCAGAUAGAAUGUUCUGUAUAUUAUUACUCUUAUGUCCCAUUUUGUCUAUAGGCUGUUCAUAUCAGCGUUUUCCUUACUGAUUUGCUGUCUGCAUGAUCUACCCAUUGUUGAGUGGUGUAUUAAAGACCCCAUCUAUUGGGGCGCCUGGGUGGCGCAGUCGGUUAAGCGUCCGACUUCAGCCAGGUCACGAUCUCACGGUCCGGGAGUUCGAGGCCCGCGUCGGGCUCUGGGCUGAUGGCUCAGAGCCUGGAGCCUGUUUCUGAUUCUGUGUCUCCCUCUCUCUCUGCCCCUCCCCCGUUCAUGCUCUGUCUCUCUCUGUCCCAAAAAUAAAUAAACGUUGAAAAAAAAAAUUUUAAGACCCCAUCUAUUACUGUGUUGUUGCUUAUUUCUUUUAGGUCUGUUCAUUUUUGCUUUAUGCUUUUAUGUGCUCUGAUUGUAACACUGGGUAUAUAAAUGUUUACAGUUGUUAGGUUAUCUUGAUGUAUAGACCCAUUUACCAAUAACCUUUUGUCUCUUUUUAUAAUUUUUAAAGUCUCUUUUGUCGGAUACAAGUAUAGCUUUCCCUGCCCCCCCCCCCCUUUUUUUUUCUUUUGGUUACCAAUUGCUUAAAAUGCCUUUGCUUCACUCUCAGUCUGUUUGCCUUUGAGUCUGAGGUGGGUCUCCGGCAGGACAGGGUAUUGUUGGGUCUUGUUAUUUUAAUCCACUUAGCCUUUCUGUGUCUUUAUAUUGGGGAAUUUAAUCUGUUGACAUUGAAAGUAAUUGUUGAUAAGGAUUUACUGUUGCCUUUUUGUUGUUUUGUGGUUUGUUUUAUGGAUCCAUUGUUCCUUGUUUCUUAUCCUGUUGUCUUUGUAGUUUGAUGUCCUGUCCUUAUCAAUAUGCUUUGACUUGUCAUCUUUUGUGUAAUUACUACAGGUUUUUCCCUGUAGUUACCUUGAGGCUUACAUAAGAUGUUUUAAAAUUUAGCACUCUGUUCUAAACUAAUAGCAACUUUAAUUGAACUACUAAGCUUUAUACUUCUCACAUUUUACUUAAUGUUGCAAUUUACAUAUUUUCUUAUUGUGUAAUCAAUAACAGACUAUUGAAGAUAUGGUUACUUUUACUAUAUUUGUUUUUAACGUUUAAACUAGUCUUAUGACUUACACACCACCAUUAUCCUAUUACAGAAUCCAUUUUUAACUAUCAAUACUAGUGAGUUGUACAGUGCCUUAUGUUUCUAUGCUAUUAACUAGUGAUCUUUUAUUUUCACUCAAAGAACUCCUUUUAGCAUUUCUUUUAAGGUAGGUAUAGUGGUAAUGAACUCCCUCAGCUUUUGUUUGUCUGAGAAAGUCUAUCCUUCCUUUAUUUUUGAAGAACAGCUUUGCCAGGCAUAGAAUUCUUGAUUGAAACUUUGGGUUUUUCUUUUUUUCCUCCCUGUAUUUUGAAUAUGUCUUCCCAUUGUUUUCUGUCCUGAAAAGUUUCUGUUGAGGAAUCCAGCCUUAUUUGGAAUUCCCUUUUAUUUUCCCUCUGUUUUCUCUUAUUGCUUUCAAAAUUCAUGGUCUGUCUUUGAUUUUUGCCAUUUAAUUGUGAAGUGUCUUGAUUUAGCCCUAUUUGGGUUCACCCUGUUUGGGGUCCUUUGGGCCUCUUGGAUCUGGAUGUCUAUUUCCCUACCCAGGUUUGGGAAGUUUUCAGCCAUUAUUGCUUUAAAUAUACUUUCUGUUGUUUCUUUUUCUCCUUCUAGAAUUCCCCUAAUUCAAAUAUUAUUUGCUUUCAUUGUGUCCAGUAAUUCCUGUAGCCUCUUUUCACUUUCUUUCAUUCUUUUUCUUUUUGCUCCUCUAAUUUCAAUGGUGGUUUUUUGUUUUUUUUUCCAGUUCACUGCAGUGUUCUGCAUGGUUGAGUCUGCUUUUAAAACCCUUUAUUGAAUUCUUCAGUUAUAUUUUUCAGCUCUGAUUUUGGGGCUUGUGGGUUUUUUUGUUUGUUUGGUUUUGGGAUGAUUUCUGCUUUGUUGAACUUCUUGUUCAUGUAUUGUUUUCAUAAUUUUAUUUAGUGGUCUGUAUGUUCUUAUAGCUCACUAAACUUUAUAACAAUUAUUCUGAAUUCUUUAUCUGACAGCUCACAGGUCUCCAUUUCUUUUGGGUCAGUUACUAGAGCGUCAUUCAUUUCCGUUGGUAUGUCAUACCUGAUUUUUCAAGAUCUUUGAUUCUUUAUGUUGGUCUCUGUGCCUUUAAGUGGUCUCCUCUUACAGACUUAGCAUGUUUGAUUUGGCAGAGACAUUUCUUCACCAGUCAGCUUAGUGUGGGUUUCUGGACAUGUCUGCUGGUAACAUCCUUGGGUAGGUGGGGCCUCCUAGUAGAGUCUAUUUUUAGGCAAGCAGCUGUUAAUGCUCUGAGGUAAGGGGUAUGGCACUGGCCAAGAAUAGCUAGAUAACACUGCUGGCUCGCUCCCCUCCUCAGGGGAAGCUGUGGGAUGAUCUUCGCGAUUUCCUGAAAUCUCUGGUCAGGCUUACUCGAAGGUUGGGACUGGGUACUACGUUGGCCUUCGUUCAGGCUAUGAACUAGCUUCUCUGCCCUUGCAGGGCGGCUGGAUAGGACCCAGGGCCUGCACAGGUUGUUCGGGGACCUGAUCAGGAAAGAGUGUGCACUUAACAUCCUGGUCAGAUGAAGCCACUGGUUUUGCUCUACAGAUGUGGAAAGCCCAGAGCUAUACUCCAUCAAGUGACACUGUAAAUGGGGCCGUUGGAUGAGCUAUGCAUUUCCCUGUGUGCUCUGGUAAGGUCCCCUGUGUGGCUGGGUUGAAGGCAGAAUUCAGCAAUAAGUAGGCUACGAAUUACUUUCCCUGGUUGGGUGCAGCAGGCAAAGCAGCUCCAAAGCCGUCAGUGCUUUCUUCUGGACUCCAGUCAACCCAGGCCUCGAGUUCCCUGGCCAGACAGAACCACUGGAUUUGCUUUGGGUGGCGUCAGUUCUGCCCACCUGCUUCUUGGCUUAAGAGCUGCUGGGCCACAUAGCUUCCAGGUAUUCUGGUGAGCCCUUGCUGUCAGAAGGGGCAGGGGGUCACAUUCUGUAGGCACAGGGGCUGGAGUAGGGCUAUGUCUCUGGUUCCUGUUGGAGCGAGACUGGAAGGGCCCGCUUGAGGCGACUCCCAAAUUUUCCUGACUAGAUUUUCUGAUCAGGAGGGACUGGGGGCCGUGGUCUGCAGCAGGGGUAGCUGUGGCUCAGCUCUUCUGCCAGGGCAUGGGCAGAGCAGGCAGCAAGGCCAGAACUCCUUCUUUGGGGACCCAAAUUUGGCAGGCCUGAACCUUGCCAAAUUCCCCGGUCAGACUGUGCCACUGACCUGGCUUGCAGAUGAGUGUACACGCUGGUUGUUGGAAGCCCCUCCCCGCUUCUCCGUCUCAGGCUCCUAGAGGUUGAGCUCCACAGCUUUCCCCGAAGUCCUUGUGGAGUGAAACCAGAGUAUGGGCUCCAACUAAGUACCACAUUAGGUAGGCGGAGGGCUGGAUAUCACCCAUGGGCUCUCCCCACCUGAGGAACCGGUGGCUUAGGGGAGAAGUCUCCACGUAGUGCUGAGCCAGCGUGGGGGAGGGGCAACGUGGUCAGCAUGUAGCUGUUCCUCUUACCCUUCCAGUCUUGGUCUCUCUCGUGCUGCGGGGUGCCUUAGCCUCACUCCUGAGCUCUAGGAUCCUUUCAUUGGUGUCCUAUCCAGGAACAGUUGUUAGUUGCCUUCUUGUGAAGGGGAGUAUACUCAAGAACUACUUAUGUUACCAUCUUGGUGAUGUUACUCCCCUCCCCUCUCUUACCUUGUUCCCAUUUCAGCAAAAUUUUUAACACGUUACCCUAUUAGCAGAUUUCAAAAUAUUGAUGUAGACUGUAAAAGUAAUCCCUUUACAUCAUAGAAUGUACUGAUAAUUAAAAACCACACAGUUGUAAAUGUUUGUUAUCUCCGUCCAAACUUUCUCCGCUGAGUUUCUUCAGAUCAAACAUUUAUAACCCAGUAAAGUCCCAUUUGUUACCAAAAGACAGGAGAAUGAUUCUGCUUCAAAUGUGCAUUUUAGCAAAACAAACUUUUCAGAACUUUCAGCAGUUGUUACUGUUAAAUCAUAUUAACCAGGUACACAGUGUCUAAAGUGAUCAGUGACAAAACUUUUUCUAUUCGUUAAAUAGGACCACCCGAUUCUCUAGUUUUUAACUGGUAUUUUUCCUUAUCAAAAUAUUACACUACUAACUUUGUUACACUUCAGGAGUCAUGGUGGUGGUAACGCAGUCUCCCGAGUAGUAAUAAAAGGUUGUUGUUUUAAAAUGUUACGUUUUGUAACAUUUACAAUUUAAAAUGUUAUAUUUAAUGUGAUCUGAAUUCUUAUUUAAGAACCAAAGAGUAAAUGUUAUUUCUAUUUUAUUAGGUAUUAGACCCGUUAGAGAAAGUUAUAAGUUUCAGCAAUUUUUAAAUGAUGAGAUUGCAGAAAAAGGCAACAAGAUUAUUAUAACAAUUCAAAAUAUAUUAUCUAAAGAAAAGUUAAAGUGAUCGUGAAACCUGAAAAGCUCAAGCAAUUACAGACCUCGUCAGUUACAGAGACAUCUGCUAACCACAAGGGAGAAACUUCAGGCAGUGAGAAACACAGCUUCGUCAGAAUCACGGUCCUUGCCACUGUCUUCGCUUGGUGCACACUCCCCACCACUUGGGGACCGACAGCUCAAGUCCUCCACCCCGGACUCUUGAUCGCUGUUGGCCGACAGAUCCGGAUCUGAGCUUUUCAAAUUGUCUUGGGUUAGAAUGAGAGCAGAAUCUUCAUCACCUUGUGAAGGACUCCUGGAUGGAAAGGAUUUCAUGUUUCCGCUGUAAUCCUGGGGAGUGUUGGCUGUGCUGUUGUCUGAGGUAGAAAACCCUGAGUGUUUGCUGGGUUCACUUUGCUUAGCCUUCACUUUAGUGUGAUUUAACUGGACUUUCUGAAUUUUUUCCAGCCUCUAAAAAAAAAAAAAGUUUUUUUAGGGAAAAAUCAUAAAUAACUUAGUAUUUAUUACUUUCCACCUAGGUAUAAUCUUAAGAACAUGGGAUGUAAAUGGACUUGGGUUCAAAGCUAGACUUUAUGACCUUGGACAAAAUAGAUUAUGUGAGACUUGGUUUCUUCAUCUCGAAUUAAAUGAAGGUAAAUACCAGCUUUACUAUAGGUUUUCUAUAAAAUGCAAAAAAAGAAAAAAAUAAUAACAUAGGUAAAGCACCUGGCAAUCAGUAGUCAUCCUUUCUAGACCUAUAAUGUUUUACAUGAUGAUUCUCAUCCUAUAAACUCAAAAUGCAUUUUUAAAACACCAGGAAUGAGUUGUUUAUUAUCUAUUUUUUUUAAUUAAGAAACAUCACUUAACCAUAAAACACCUCCUUCUAAAGUAUACAGUUCAGUGGUUUUAGUAUGUUCGCAAGGUUAUACAACAAUUCCCUACUACGUAAUUCCAAAAUAUUUUCAUCAUCCUCAAAGAAAACCCCAUAACCAUUAGCAGUCACUCCCCAUUUCAGCCUCCCACAGCUCUGGCCGCCACUAAGCUACUUUGUAUCUCUAUGGAUUUGCCUCGUCUGGACAUUUCAUAUAAAUGGAAUCAUACAACACA